RNAcentral lists this ribosomal RNA (397 nucleotides) under uncultured bacterium. RNAcentral's name for it is "partial 16S ribosomal RNA". It matches the Rfam family "Bacterial small subunit ribosomal RNA", at positions 523 to 918 of the family's 1533-position model. The record is from RNAcentral.
AUACGUAGGUGACAAGCGUUAUCCGGAUUUACUGGGCGUAAAGGGCGUGUAGGCGGUCUUGCAAGUCAGAAGUGAAAUUCCUGAGCUCAACUCGGGCGCUGCUUCUGAAACUGCAGGACUUGAGUGCUGGAGGGGAUAGCGGAAUUCCUAGUGGAGCGGUAAAAUGCGCAGAUAUUAGGAAGAACACCGGUGGCGAAGGCGGAUAUCUGGACAGUAAUUGACGCUGGGGCGCGAAAGCGUGGGGAGCAAACAGGAUUAGAUACCCGGGUGGUCCACGCCGUAAACGAUGAAUACUAGGUGUAGGGGGUAUCGACUCCCUCUGUGCCGCAGUUAACACAAUAAGUAUUCCGCCUGGGGAGUACGGCCGCAAGGUUGAAACUCAAAGGAAUUGACGGGG